CGGCGGACGGGUGAGUACACGUGGGUAACCUGCCUGUAAGACUGGGAUAACUCCGGGAAACCGGGGCUAAUACCGGAUGCUUGAUUGAACCGCAUGGUUCAAUCAUAAAAGGUGGCUUUCAGCUACCACUUGCAGAUGGACCCGCGGCGCAUUAGCUAGUUGGUGAGGUAACGGCUCACCAAGGCGACGAUGCGUAGCCGACCUGAGAGGGUGAUCGGCCACACUGGGACUGAGACACGGCCCAGACUCCUACGGGAGGCAGCAGUGGUCA
RNAcentral lists this ribosomal RNA (271 nucleotides) under Bacillus sp. CM5.2. RNAcentral's name for it is "partial 16S ribosomal RNA". It matches the Rfam family "Bacterial small subunit ribosomal RNA", at positions 96 to 357 of the family's 1533-position model. The record is from RNAcentral. Lineage: Bacteria; Bacillati; Bacillota; Bacilli; Caryophanales; Bacillaceae.